RNAcentral lists this ribosomal RNA (497 nucleotides) under uncultured bacterium. RNAcentral describes it as "partial 16S ribosomal RNA". It matches the Rfam family "Bacterial small subunit ribosomal RNA", at positions 28 to 507 of the family's 1533-position model. The record is from RNAcentral.
GACGAACGCUGGCGGCAUGCCUAAUACAUGCAAGUCGAGCGCUGAAGCACUCUGCUUGCAGAGUGCGGAUGAGUGGCGAACGGGUGAGUAACACGUGGGAAAUCUGCCUAUAAGAGGGGGAUAACAUUCGGAAACGGAUGCUAAUACCGCAUAUAUUCUUGGACCGCCUGGUCCUUGAAAGAAAGACGGCUUUGCUGUCGCUUAUAGAUGAUCCCGCGGCGUAUUAGUUAGUUGGUGGGGUAAAGGCCUACCAAGACAAUGAUACGUAGCCGACCUGAGAGGGUGAUCGGCCACACUGGGACUGAGACACGGCCCAGACUCCUACGGGAGGCAGCAGUAGGGAAUCUUCCACAAUGGGCGAAAGCCUGAUGGAGCAAUGCCGCGUGAAUGAAGAAGGUCUUCGGAUCGUAAAGUUCUGUUAUUAGAGAAGAACAAGUCAAGGAGUAACUGUCUUGACUUUGACGGUACCUAACCAGAAAGUCACGGCUAACUACGUG